Molecule: ribosomal RNA, 379 nt
Filed under: uncultured eukaryote
Lineage: Eukaryota
Description: partial 18S ribosomal RNA
Rfam family: Eukaryotic small subunit ribosomal RNA
Source: RNAcentral
CAAUAGCGUAUAUUUAAGUUGUUGCAGUUAAAAAGCUCGUAGUUGGAUUUCGGAUGGGACUUGCCGGUCCGUCGUUUCGAUGUGCACUGGCCAGUCCUAUCUUGUUGUCGGGGACUAGCUCCUGGGCUUCACUGUCCGGGACUAGGAGCUGACGAGGUUACUUUGAGUAAAUUAGAGUGUUCAAAGCAAGCCUACGCUCUGAAUACAUUAGCAUGGAAUAACACGAUAGGACUCUGGCUUAUCUUGUUGGUCUGUGAGACCAGAGUAAUGAUUAAGAGGGACAGUCGGGGGCAUUCGUAUUUCAUUGUCAGAGGUGAAAUUCUUGGAUUUGUUGAAGACGGACUACUGCGAAAGCAUCUGCCAUGGAUGUUCUCAUUGA